Molecule: long non-coding RNA, 3178 nt
Organism: Gallus gallus (chicken)
Lineage: Eukaryota; Metazoa; Chordata; Aves; Galliformes; Phasianidae
Exons: 2
Source: RefSeq, a predicted model, not a curated record
GACUGCCCCCGUGGAGGAGACAAUAACGGCGGUGCGGCGGCGGGUCCCGGCCCUGCAGCGGACGUGUAAAGUGAGGAAAGAUCCCUGGGCCAGUACCUGAUUUGAUAAUACACUUGGUGAUCGUGCCACCAAAAAUUGCUGUUUCAGUAACUCCAAUCCAUGUUGUCCAUAUUUUGCGAUGUUUUCUUACCUUCUGAUAUUUUUUGGAGCCUGGAGAGCAUCUGAGCAAGUUUCUGUUGUCGUUCAGCCAGCUCUCCACGACCACUGAAAUCCACACGGAAGAGUGCCAUGAUGGAGUCAAUGAUCUAUAUUAUAAUUGCACUGGAUAAGUCAAUACAGUGAAAGACAACAACAACAAAACCUAUUCUGAAAGCAGCAAGUGUAUGAAAAAUAAAAAUUAGUCUUGUACCAAUAGCUUGAAGAUACCAGCUUCCUCAUGGAACUUGGCUGCUACAUAGUCAAGCAAUUCCAUCUGAUGUUCACCUGAUGGGAAGAGCAGUUGACAAAUGAAAUUAGGGUCAGAAAGAGCUCUGAAGCAAGAAGAGCCUGAAUUUGGAAAUUCCACUUUAAAUGUCUGCAUUCUUUGUAUUUUCACCCCCAGCAGUUUUAGGAGUUCAUUGUCCAUUAACAAGCUACUUCUCCAGUACCCAAUAGUGCUUGUGCUUCUGCUAGCUCCACUUUCCACUUGCUCAGCCAACAACAAUUCUUUGUGAAGAGUUCCACGAAACAGCCUUAUUUUGAGAGUUGAAAACCAACAGAAUUGUUUGAAAUGAACAUUGAAUUAAACAACACAAAGAAAUUGUAUUGCCGUAUUAUUUACGUUCAUGUAAAAGUCCCAUUUACUUGAAGUUUUAAUGCAAUUUCAUCUGUCAGAGUGCAUGAAACUGUUUCUAUGAAGGUCCAUUCACAAAAUUAUAGAGAAUUAUCGACAGCAUUUAUAGAACUAGCUUACAUUCAGACAUUAAUUGUUGCUUCUGUUACUAAGAUGGUACACUGACAACUAUAAUACAUGUGGCGGAAUUGUUGCAGCAUACUACAGAACCUUAUGCAGUACAGCUGGGCUGGAAUACUUACCCUGAGCUAGUCUGCUAGAGUACAACACCAGAAAAAGAAAACAGAAGCUAGCUUGUAACUUCUUUUGCUAGCAACAAAAUGUAAUUUACCAUCCUUAAGCGGGCAAUCUCACUUAAGCAACUGAAAACUAUUAAAACAGAGAAAAAUCAUAGAUAUCAUGGCAGUUGCAUGAUGGUCUUACUAGUAUAUGCACGUGCAUACAGCACGUUGUCAAGGACUGCAUCAUGGUCAACGUUGAAGCGAUCAGCAAUGUCACGAAGACGGUCUGGUCGGCUGACAUCAGUCAGAGUUAAGGAUUUCUCUUUGUACAAACCAUGCUCUGAAAACACUAAAACUCCAUCCCAAAAUAAAUAUGUGGAAAAAAAGAAUAUUUGUUCUAAUCCUAGAGAAGACUGACUUUUCACACUGUCUUACAUACCCUAAGGACAGCUUGGGGCUCUUGAUGAUAAUUGUUUUGUGUUUAGGGUUUGACACAUGGAUAUACAUGCUCUGGGGAUUUGGCAGUAAGCAAAACCUAUAUAUAUACACAGUCUAUCAUAGACAUUAAGUUAGUUCUUAGAUAAAUUUAUUUUGAGAUAAAUAGAAAUACAUCACCUAUCAUCUAUCAUUACAUCUAUCAUCUGUCUAUCUGUUUAUCUAUUCAUUGCUUUCUAUAAUCUGUCACCACUAAGAAAGCAUGUUAAAUCCUAAGGAAAUACUCAAAAGAAAAUCGAUAUUCUGACUCACUUUUCCAGCUUGGAUCAGAUAAAAUGACAGAAAAAAAGCCACUGCCCUGUGGGCCACUACACACUGUGCUCUCCAAGUUUUCUGUGUCCAUCAGAUUGUUUCCCAUGCAUGAAGCCAUCUGGAGCCUCCUACUUGCAUGAAAUUAGAACAAAAUGAACUGUCUUUCCAGUUCAAGGUACCUGUAGCUUUCAACAGCCCAAAAGAUACAAAGUGUUUUCGGUAUCAAUGAAGAUAAUCUUUCCACCAGUGUAGCCCUUGGGCCCUGGCAGCUGAGCUGUCACUGGAAACAAUCAGAAUAAAAUGAAUAGCUGGGGAAAAUAUUUUCUCAUGCUAUUAUUUUUAAUGAAAUACGAUGACUCUUUACCUGUAUCACAGAGAGCCACUGGUUUUAAUCAAUGUGGAAAUCACUAGUCUAGCCUCUUUGAAGUGAAUAAGCUAAAAUACUCAAUCCAUUCAGUUGUGAUCAUUCAGGCGAAAGUAUAUAACUCUGCUGACUAACUUAGAUUGUAUUGAAUGGAAGAGUCUUCAUUUUUCCAGAAGGCUCCACAAUUCCCUUUAUGCCACAGUGUCCAUUUUAGUGAAUGUUUGUCUACCCGAUAUCGUGUAACUAUAUUCCAGAAGUGUAAUAGUUACAAUAGUUAUCAUUGACUACUAUCUACACAUUGUGAGAUAGUGCUGCAGAAUCAGAGUCCUGCUAUGUCUGGCAUUGCCAAAGUCUUUGUUUAACCAGUUCAUGUUAGCCACUGGUAUCCUUUCUGUGCCCUUUUAGAACAUCGUCGUCAGCAAAACUUCUCAAACGCAGGAAAAUAAAAGCAUUGCUGACAAAGAAUCUUGCCUUUGCCAUUUCCUGAGCAAUGCUCCUGUCCCCCUAUAAGUCCUAUUUGUGCUCUGCUUUUCCAGGUAGUGUGUGUUGCUCCCUAAGAUGGCUUAUGGUAUUCUCUCUCCUUCUGGCAAAACUUAGAUUGAUGUGAGCAUCAUUAACAAGUAAUUACCUACAUGAGUUCUGUAUUCAAACGCAACUAAUAGAUGUAAGAGUCACCAAGUUUUCACUAUACUUGUAGAGAUAGAAUAUUCUGACUUGCUUUUAUGUGUUGAAUUUUUAUAUUGUUGUAAUGAAAAAAAGCCACUCCCUGUUUUAAGGUAGCACACUUACCACAAAGGGUAUGAGAUAGCUGUGUUUUGCCUGUCCGGAACUCUGUUAAAUAAAGAAAAAAAAUAAAAGUCAUUUUUUUUCUUUUUUUUUUGUCUUGUGACUGCAAAAAUUCACCUCUAUUUCUGUAUUUGUACGUUUGUACAUUUCAAUCCUGAUAUAUAAAUCACAUUAUGUGCAGUAGAAAUGUCUUGCAUUAAAAGCAAAAUCUGGAAUGCUUUGAUCUGA